CAGUCGCCACGGUAAUACGAAGGGGGCUAGCGUUGCUCGGAAUCACUGGGCGUAAAGGGUGCGUAGGCGGGUCUUUAAGUCAGGGGUGAAAUCCUGGAGCUCAACUCCAGAACUGCCUUUGAUACUGAAGAUCUUGAGUUCGGGAGAGGUGAGUGGAACUGCGAGUGUAGGGGUGAAAUUCGUAGAUAUUCGCAAGAACACCAGUGGCGAAGGCGACUCUCUGGUCUGUAACUGACGCUGAGGAGCGAAAGCGUGGGGAGCGAACAGGAUUAGAUACCCGUGUAGUCCCUGUCUCUUAUAU
RNAcentral lists this ribosomal RNA (301 nucleotides) under uncultured bacterium. Its description in RNAcentral is "partial 16S ribosomal RNA". It matches the Rfam family "Bacterial small subunit ribosomal RNA", at positions 509 to 809 of the family's 1533-position model. The record is from RNAcentral.